RNAcentral lists this ribosomal RNA (290 nucleotides) under uncultured Hyphomicrobiales bacterium. RNAcentral describes it as "uncultured Rhizobiales bacterium partial 16S ribosomal RNA". It matches the Rfam family "Bacterial small subunit ribosomal RNA", at positions 365 to 672 of the family's 1533-position model. The record is from RNAcentral. Lineage: Bacteria; Pseudomonadati; Pseudomonadota; Alphaproteobacteria; Hyphomicrobiales.
UGGACAAUGGGCGCAAGCCUGAUCCAGCCAUGCCGCGUGAGUGAUGAAGGCCUUAGGGUUGUAAAGCUCUUUCACCGGGGACGAUAAUGACGGUACCCGCAGAAUAAGCCCCGGCUAACUUCGUGCCAGCAGCCGCGGUAAUACGAAGGGGGCUAGCGUUGUUCGGAAUCACUGGGCGUAAAGCGCACGUAGGCGGAUCGUUAAGUCGGGGGUGAAAUCCCGGGGCUCAACCCCGGAACUGCCUUCGAUACUGGCGAUCUUGAAUCCCGGAAAAGGGGGUGGAAAUUCCA